GACGAACGCUGGCGGCGUGCCUAACACAUGCAAGUCGAGCGAAUGAAGUUCCUUCGGGAACGGAUUUAGCGGCGGACGGGUGAGUAACACGUGGGCAACCUGCCUCAUAGAGGGGAAUAGCCUUCCGAAAGGGAGAUUAAUACCGCAUAAGAUUGUAGUACCGCAUGGUACAGCAAUUAAAGGAGCAAUCCGCUAUGAGAUGGGCCCGCGGCGCAUUAGCUAGUUGGUGAGGUAACGGCUCACCAAGGCGACGAUGCGUAGCCGACCUGAGAGGGUGAUCGGCAACGUUGGGACUGGGCAACGACCCAGAAUCCGACGGGAGGCAGCAGUGAGGAAUAUUGCACAAUGGGGGAAGCCCUGAUGCAGCAACGCCGCGUGAGUGAUGACGGGCUUCGGGUUGUAAAGCUCUGUCUUCAGGGACGAUAAUGACGGUACCUGAGGAGGAAGCCACGGCUAACUACGUGCCAGCAGCCGCGGUAA
This 480-nucleotide ribosomal RNA is filed under the name uncultured bacterium. Its description in RNAcentral is "partial 16S ribosomal RNA". It matches the Rfam family "Bacterial small subunit ribosomal RNA", at positions 28 to 523 of the family's 1533-position model. The record is from RNAcentral.